This 70-nucleotide transfer RNA is filed under the name Malurus elegans (Red-winged fairywren). Its description in RNAcentral is "tRNA-Val". It matches the Rfam family "tRNA". From Rfam's summary of the family: Transfer RNA (tRNA) molecules are approximately 80 nucleotides in length. Their secondary structure includes four short double-helical elements and three loops (D, anti-codon, and T loops). Further hydrogen bonds mediate the characteristic L-shaped molecular structure. tRNAs have two regions of fundamental functional importance: the anti-codon, which is responsible for specific mRNA codon recognition, and the 3' end, to which the tRNAs corresponding amino acid is attached (by aminoacyl-tRNA synthetases). tRNAs cope with the degeneracy of the genetic code in two manners: having more than one tRNA (with a specific anti-codon) for a particular amino acid; and 'wobble' base-pairing, i.e. permitting non-standard base-pairing at the 3rd anti-codon position. Lineage: Eukaryota; Metazoa; Chordata; Aves; Passeriformes; Maluridae. The record is from RNAcentral.
CAAGACGUAGCUUAAACAAAAGCAUUCAGCUUACACCUGAAAGAUGUCUGCCAAUAUCAGAUCGUCUUGA